Non-coding RNA from Aspergillus steynii IBT 23096, 73 nucleotides. The record is from the annotation of a RefSeq genome assembly. NCBI's taxonomy places the organism in Eukaryota, Fungi, Ascomycota, Eurotiomycetes, Eurotiales, Aspergillaceae.
GCCUGGCUAGCUCAAUCGGUAGAGCGUGUGACUCUUAAUCACAAGGCUGCGGGUUCGAGCCCCGCGUUGGGCU